Molecule: long non-coding RNA, 266 nt
Organism: Labeo rohita (rohu)
Lineage: Eukaryota; Metazoa; Chordata; Actinopteri; Cypriniformes; Cyprinidae
Exons: 3
Source: RefSeq, a predicted model, not a curated record
UAUUACUGAGUCUCAGCGAGUCUUGCCAUGAUCAGCCCUUCCCAGAAGAGAAGGAAGACCAAGGAAGUCCUUUGUUCAGGGUGAGGAAUGAAUAUGGCCAUCUUGCGCCCAAACAAAGAAGACAGAAAAGUGUGCAUGUCCACUGAUGAUCUCAUCAGCCAAAUGAGGGGUUUUAACCGAGUGAUGCUCUUGAAAGGAGAGAAAGAAGAGGAUGUUGUAAAUUGUCUUCAAAGAAAAAGCUUCUCAAAAAGUCUUAAAAUCUUAAA